This 475-nucleotide ribosomal RNA is filed under the name uncultured organism. RNAcentral's name for it is "partial 16S ribosomal RNA". It matches the Rfam family "Bacterial small subunit ribosomal RNA", at positions 332 to 799 of the family's 1533-position model. The record is from RNAcentral.
UACACUCCUACGGGAGGCAGCAGUAGGGAAUCUUCCACAAUGGGUGCAAACCUGAUGGAGCAAUGCCGCGUGAGUGAAGAAGGUCUUCGGAUCGUAAAGCUCUGUUGUUAGAGAAGAACACGUGCUAGGUAACUACUAGCGCCUUGACGGUAUCUAACCAGAAAGUCACGGCUAACUACGUGCCAGCAGCCGCGGUAAUACGUAGGUGACAAGCGUUGUCCGGAUUUAUUGGGCGUAAAGGGAGCGCAGGCGGUCUGUUUAGUCUAAUGUGAAAGCCCACGGCUUAACCGUGGAACGGCAUUGGAAACUGACAGACUUGAAUGUAGAAGAGGAAAAUGGAAUUCCAAGUGUAGCGGUGGAAUGCGUAGAUAUUUGGAGGAACACCAGUGGCGAAGGCGAUUUUCUGGUCUAACAUUGACGCUGAGGCUCGAAAGCGUGGGGAGCGAACAGGAUUAGAUACCCUAGUAGUCCCAUG